GAUCAUGGCUCAGGAUGAACGCUAGCUACAGGCUUAACACAUGCAAGUCGAGGGGCAGCAUGAACUUAGCUUGCUAAGUUUGACGGCGACCGGCGCACGGGUGAGUAACACGUAUCCAACCUGCCGAUGACUCGGGGAUAGCCUUUCGAAAGAAAGAUUAAUACCCGAUGGCAUAAUUCUUCCGCAUGGUAGAACUAUUAAAGAAUUUCGGUUAUCGAUGGGGAUGCGUUCCAUUAGGCAG
This 241-nucleotide ribosomal RNA is filed under the name uncultured bacterium. Its description in RNAcentral is "partial 16S ribosomal RNA". It matches the Rfam family "Bacterial small subunit ribosomal RNA", at positions 15 to 248 of the family's 1533-position model. The record is from RNAcentral.